Non-coding RNA from Myotis davidii, 74 nucleotides. Lineage: Eukaryota; Metazoa; Chordata; Mammalia; Chiroptera; Vespertilionidae. The record is from Rfam.
GACAGUUCUCGGGUGAUGUACCCUGGAAUCGGGCUCCCUCCUCUCUGGUUCCAGGUGUGUCACCUGAGAACUUA